UUUAUUUUGAUAUUAUUUUUUAUUGUUGAAAAAAUUAAUAAUAAUUUAUUGUUAAUAAAAAUUAAAAUUUAUAAUAUUUUUAUUUUUAUUUUUUAGUUUUAAAUAAAAAAAAUAAAAUUUAUAUAUAUAAAAAUUUUGUUAUAAAUUAUAAUAGUUUAUUUAUUUGUUUUUUAUAAUAAAUAAUAGUAUUUUUUUUAUUAUUUUAUAAAAAAAAAUAAUUUAAUUAUAAUUAUUAAAAGUAAUUUUGUUAUUUAGAAUAAUAUAUUAAUAUAAAUAACAAAAAUAUUAAAUAUUUUUUAAAUUUUUUGGGGAUUUAAGUUAUAAUUUUUUGUGUCUGCUCAAUGAAUUUAAAUAGCACUUUUAGCGUGAUUAGUCAAAGGUAGCAAGGUAAUUUGUUUUUUUAUUGGAUUCUGGUAUGAACGGUUUUUUGGUAUUUUUUCUAUUAGUAAUAAAAAGAAUUUAAUAAUUA
RNAcentral lists this ribosomal RNA (469 nucleotides) under Meloidogyne hapla. RNAcentral's name for it is "partial 16S ribosomal RNA". The record is from RNAcentral. Lineage: Eukaryota; Metazoa; Nematoda; Chromadorea; Rhabditida; Meloidogynidae.